UUAACUAAAAUUUGUAGGAAUUGGAACGUUUGCCUACGUUUGCCGCUAGGGACGCUGUUCUAACUGAAUAUAAAUUUGAGUUA
Molecule: microRNA precursor, 83 nt
Filed under: Bombyx mori (domestic silkworm)
Lineage: Eukaryota; Metazoa; Arthropoda; Insecta; Lepidoptera; Bombycidae
Description: mir-2807 microRNA precursor family
Rfam family: mir-2807 microRNA precursor family
Source: Rfam by way of RNAcentral